RNAcentral lists this ribosomal RNA (492 nucleotides) under uncultured eukaryote. RNAcentral's name for it is "bacterial SSU rRNA". It matches the Rfam family "Eukaryotic small subunit ribosomal RNA", at positions 106 to 578 of the family's 1831-position model. The record is from RNAcentral.
UCAGUUGCGAUCUACGUCGGCGUUCCGCGCCGCCGGAUAACCGUAGUAAUUCUAGGGCUAAUACGUGCGAAGCGCCCGAAGCCGCGAGGCGACGGCGUUCUCGCCGGAUGUAGGAACCGACCCGGGGACCGCCGGGGCAACCCGGCGCCCCCGAGACGGGGCGAACCACGGUGAAAUGACGGAUCGUCGGCCCCGCGCCGGCGACUCGCCGAAUGAGUUUCUGACCUAUCAACUCGAGACGGCGGGGUAGAGGCCCGCCGCGGUAACGACGGGUAACGGGGAAUCAGGGUUCGAUUCCGGAGAGGGAGCCCGAGAAACGGCUACCACUUCCAAGGAAGGCAGCAGGCGCGCAACUUACCCUAAUCUCGAUUCGAGGAGGUAGUGACAAGAAAUACCGAUGCGGGACCCUACGGGUGCCGCGUUCGGAAUGAGUACGAUUCGAACCACCUAACGAGGAACGAUCGGAGGGCAAGUCUGGUGCCAGCAGCCGCG